RNAcentral lists this ribosomal RNA (649 nucleotides) under uncultured marine eukaryote. Its description in RNAcentral is "SSU rRNA". It matches the Rfam family "Eukaryotic small subunit ribosomal RNA", at positions 616 to 1266 of the family's 1831-position model. The record is from RNAcentral.
UGGUUAAAAAGCUCGUAGUUGGAUCUCGGCGGACUGAGGGCGGUUUGCUUGCUAGUAUUACUGCCCUAUAGUCCGUAGUUUUGCCAGAGGUUUCGGGGUGCUCUUAAUCGAGUGUCCCGGGAUGCUGGCAGGUUUACUUUGAAAAAAUUAGAGUGCUCAAAGCAGGCUAUUACGCCUGAAUAUUCGUGCAUGGAAUAAUAGAAUAGGAAGUCGUUUCUAUUUUGUUGGUUUUCGGAAAUCGACUUAAUGAUUAAUAGGGACAGUCGGGGGCAUUUGUAUUCAAACGACAGAGGUGAAAUUCUUGGACCGUUUGAAGACAAACUACUGCGAAAGCAUUUGCCAAGAACGUUUUCAUUAAUCAAGAACGAAAGUUAAAGGUUCGAAGGCGAUUAGAUACCGCCCUAGUUUUAACCAUAAACGAUGCCAGCUAGCGAUCUGCGGACGUUUUUUUUGUAGACUCCGCAGGAAGCUUCCGGGAAACCAAAGCAUUUGGGUUCCAGGGGAAGUAUGGUUGCAAAGCUGAAACUUAAAGGAAUUGACGGAAGGGCACCACCAGGAGUGGAGCCUGUGGCUUAAUUUGACUCAACACGGGAAAUCUCACCAGGCCCGGACACUGGAAGGAUUGACAGAUUGAUAGCUCUUUCUUGAU